UUGCCAAUUGGAGAAUAUGCAGCAGUAACUCUUGUAAUGUUCUUUGGCCUCAAGUCAAUAAAAGAUGCAUGGGACCUUCCAUCAAAUGUAGGUAAGAGUGGACCUAAACUUGAUGAAUUUGUGGAGGCUGAGGAGUUUGUGAAGGAAAAGGUGGUCUUUCUAAAGCCUGCCUUCUCUUAAGGUUUUUCCAGAAAUGAAUUUCUUAUUUUUAUUGAUGCUGUGUUUAAUGUCUUCAGGUGUCAAAACGACUCUCAAACCCACUUGAAAUCGUCUGGAAGUCAUUUAGCCUUGUGUUCUUUGCUGUAAGCAUCUUCUUUUAGCAACACCUAAUUAUAACUAAAAGAUAUAUGCUUGCUUUCAUUAUGGUUAGUCAAUCCAAAAUCUGAAACUAUGAUGCAGCCUAUAAAAAAGUGAAAUUUGAAACCGAGACAUGGUCUUGGUGAUCCGAAUUUUGUAAAAUUGUUGCAAAUCCAACUUUUAGCCCCCUAUCCUUGUGUCU
This 499-nucleotide long non-coding RNA is filed under the name Vitis vinifera (wine grape). RNAcentral describes it as "long non-coding RNA (VVIN_LNC004259)". The record is from RNAcentral. Lineage: Eukaryota; Viridiplantae; Streptophyta; Magnoliopsida; Vitales; Vitaceae.